GAGGGGUAUAUUUCUUCGGAGAUAGAGACCGGCGCACGGGUGCGUAACGCGUAUGCAAUCUACCUUUUACAGAGGGAUAGCCCAGAGAAAUUUGGAUUAAUACCUCAUAGUAUAGCUCUACCGCAUGGUAGUACUAUUAAAGUCACAACGGUAAAAGAUGAGCAUGCGUCCCAUUAGCUAGUUGGUAAGGUAACGGCUUACCAAGGCUACGAUGGGUAGGGGUCCUGAGAGGGAGAUCCCCCACACUGGUACUGAGACACGGACCAGACUCCUACGGGAGGCAGCAGUGAGGAAUAUUGGACAAUGGGCGCAAGCCUGAUCCAGCCAUGCCGCGUGCAGGAUGACGGUCCUAUGGAUUGUAAACUGCUUUUAUACGAGAAGAAACACUGCUUCGUGAAGCAGCUUGACGGUAUCGUAAGAAUAAGGAUCGGCUAACUCCGUGCCAGCAGCCGCGGUAAUACGGAGGAUCCAAGCGUUAUCCGGAAUCAUUGGGUUUAAAGGGUCCGUAGGCGGUUUAAUAAGUCAGUGGUGAAAGCCCAUCGCUCAACGGUGGAACGGCCAUUGAUACUGUUAAACUUGAAUUAUUAGGAAGUAACUAGAAUAUGUAGUGUAGCGGUGAAAUGCUUAGAGAUUACAUGGAAUACCAAUUGCGAAGGCAGGUUACUACUAAUGCAUUGACGCUGAUGGACGAAAGCGUGGGUAGCGAACAGGAUUAGAUACCCUGGUAGUCCACGCCCGUAACGAUGGAUACUAGCUGUUGG
RNAcentral lists this ribosomal RNA (761 nucleotides) under uncultured bacterium. Its description in RNAcentral is "bacterial SSU rRNA". It matches the Rfam family "Bacterial small subunit ribosomal RNA", at positions 64 to 826 of the family's 1533-position model. The record is from RNAcentral.